AGGAGCAGGAUGGUGCACAGAUUUACUGAGUAUAAGAAGAGAGAGAGAAGGGAAAGAAGCGCCCCCCCCCCCCCCCCCGGAGGCAGCCUGGGCUCUGCCUUCACCUGCUCGGGCAGGCCUGCUCCAGGAUAACUUGUUUCUUGCCCUUGGCUGCAGGGAGACAGAGCUGGCUUGCUGCUGGCUGUCCCGUGGUCGGGAGCGCCGAGGCCCGGGGUGUUUAGGGGCUCCCUCUUUUCCUGCCUCACGCCGUAGCUACGUGAGGCUGCUCUCAGGCAGGGAGGAUUCCGCAUGUCCCGGCUCCGGCACUUCGUAGGCUUCUCCCAGAGAAAUCGAGGCACGGUUUCGGGGCGGAGCGUGCUGGCCGGUAUCAUUACAAAGAGCGCCUCCUAGUGAGGCAAAUGGCCGUCUGUGUCCACAAGGCUCCGUAUUUCUGCCUCAGCCUUGGCGUCGAGGGCAAAGCUGGGGAAGCCGGGGUAGAGUCGGGGCCCAUUGUAAGGGGGGAGCUUUUCCUGCUCAGAUAAUCACCCUCGAGAGGGCAGCUCAGGGUCCUGCUGAACUUUUACACGCCCUUAAGCACAACUAAAUAAAGGCCAGCCUCCCACCCCCGAGGGCACGUGCACGGGGAGCUUCUCCUUUCGGGGCUGUGGCGCCGACACCGUCUCCAGUGUCCCCCCCUCCGUGUCUCUGGUCUCGACGUAGUGGAAGACGGGAAGUUUACCAAAUCGUUUUUUGUAACCUGAGCUUUCUGGGCUUUCAAGGGGAAGCUUCACAGGAACUUUGUACCAGAGUGUCCCUAGCAGACAGCCUCUAUUUUUCUACAGUUCUAAGCGCUUGAACCGAUGUAUUUUGUGUCCAUCCGACUUCACUAUCGACACUUCCGCACUGAGCGCUCGGAAUCCUCCAAGGGGCGAGGACUGAGCGCUAGUUUCCCUGACUGUUCCUGCUACAAUCGCUACUGCCGUUACCGGGGUCGAGGGAGAAGUAGGAGACGAGGCUCGGGGGCCGGAGGGCGUCUGCCUCGGAAUGGAGGGCUGACGACCCUAACCGGGCACGCGCCGCGGGGUUUGGACCGCCUUUCCCAAGAAGCCCGCGAAAAUCCUCCAAUUGUCCCAGCCGCCGCCGCAACACGCCUCACAGCGCGAAGCGGAAUGUGUUCAUUUCUCAAUUGGCUUCCUGUAACUAAUAAAAACGUUUUCUGUUGUCCUCGGAGAACACUGUGCUUUCGUUUCUUUAAUCCUCCCUUCGCAGUCCAGUGCCGCUGCGCUGUCAGCAUCCGCGCUCCCCUCCCCUGCGGCCUCAGGCUAGUGCACCAGUCCCUCCUUAAAGGAGCGCCCGUUCUGGGGAGGUGACCGAGCUUAGCUCCUUCCGGGGAAGGUGGCCAACUGCGCCAGGCCCUCCCCAUUCUUCCGUCGCUGGGCAAAGCGCAGCCUUCUUGGCCUCCAGAAAAGGGCGUCUGCCCUGAAAGCCCGUCCUCAGCCCUCCCAAAGCCUCGGGUCAUUUUCCCACACCCACACCUCCGCAGACCUGCAAAGGGAUGCUUCCGAAGUCCUUGCUCGACUCUAAGCUGGCACACUCCUCUCCUCCAGUGGAAGGGAAUCCCUGGAGGCCGCUUCCUCUCUUUGGGGUCGCCCUUUUGGUACUCUCCGUGUUUCCUUGUACAACCUCGUCUGGGGAUCUUUGCUACCAGGUGAGCGAGGAGCCAGUGGGAGCCAGAGAAGAGGCACUACUGAGGCCUUUGGCCCUUUUGUCAGCACUUAUUCCAUCGAUGAACAAAGGAAUCAAGCAAGGGGCCUCAUCCUGGAAUUCCCCAUCACUUGACGGUCUACAGACAUUCUUCUGCUCCUCAAAUGUUAGGGUCCGGGUUUUCACCCACCACCAAGGAAGACCAACAGACGAUGCAAUUAGCAGGAGGGCCUUGUUUAUUAAACUGAUGUGCACCAGCAGCACACACCAGGGGAGCUCCGCCAUAGAGUUCCAAUCAUAGACUGGGGAUGCUGGGAUAUAUAUCCCCUCCAGCAUGCGUAGCCCCCCCAGGCCCUAUCUGGUACAUCCCAUUGUUGGAAUGUUUGCCAGCAUUUAUGGUCCCUAAGCUCUAUCUGGGACCUACCUACUGCUAGGACCUUUGACAUCUUAACUUCCAAGGUCCGGCAGUUUCCGCUCAGACCUCUAAGUUAUCUGGUACCCACUGCUGGGAUCUUUGACCUAUUAACUUCCAAGGCUCCGCAGUUCCUGCUCCCUCACAAAGUCGCCCUCCCACACCAGGACGUCAUUUGACUUGAUUUAGUCAAGCAAGCUUGACCCAGUCAAAGAGAUUCACAGCUCUUCCAGGGAUCAAAGGGCGUAAAUCAU
Molecule: long non-coding RNA, 2349 nt
Organism: Monodelphis domestica (gray short-tailed opossum)
Lineage: Eukaryota; Metazoa; Chordata; Mammalia; Didelphimorphia; Didelphidae
Source: Ensembl